Molecule: ribosomal RNA, 450 nt
Filed under: uncultured bacterium
Lineage: Bacteria
Description: bacterial SSU rRNA
Rfam family: Bacterial small subunit ribosomal RNA
Source: RNAcentral
GUGGGGAAUAUUGGACAAUGGGCGAAAGCCUGAUCCAGCCAUGCCGCGUGUGUGAAGAAGGUCUUCGGAUUGUAAAGCACUUUAAGUUGGGAGGAAGGGCAGUAAGUUAAUACCUUGCUGUUUUGACGUUACCAACAGAAUAAGCACCGGCUAACUUCGUGCCAGCAGCCGCGGUAAUACGAAGGGUGCAAGCGUUAAUCGGAAUUACUGGGCGUAAAGCGCGCGUAGGUGGUGUUGUAAGUUGAAGGUGAAAUCCCCGGGCUCAACCUGGGAACUGCCUCCAAAACUGCAUGGCUAGAGUACGGUAGAGGGUAGUGGAAUUUCCUGUGUAGCGGUGAAAUGCGUAGAUAUAGGAAGGAACACCAGUGGCGAAGGCGACUACCUGGACUGAUACUGACACUGAGGUGCGAAAGCGUGGGGAGCAAACAGGAUUAGAAACCCUGGUAGUCC